Molecule: non-coding RNA, 15724 nt
Organism: Monodelphis domestica (gray short-tailed opossum)
Lineage: Eukaryota; Metazoa; Chordata; Mammalia; Didelphimorphia; Didelphidae
Source: RefSeq, a predicted model, not a curated record
AUAAAACUCUGUGAGGAAUGUCUUCUGCUGGAAACUAGGCUUAUGCUACAGCUCCUUAAUCUAGCUAAAUAUAUAUUUCUAACUAUAUAAUCUACUUUAUUUAAAUAUCCUUAUAUUAUAUCUUCAAAUAAUCAAAUUCAGUCUUCUUUGACUCCCUCUCCAGUCUCCACUUCCAAAUAUGACAGGAACGCAGACUCUGCAGGUUCAUAGAAGUCAAACUUUCUUCUUUCAUAGAAGUCAAACUUUCUUCUGCCUCCUCUGUUAAAAUCAGGGAACAGCCUGAGCUUCUUCCUCAUUUGGUCAGAUUAAUCUCUGAUUUUUCUCAGCUCUCAAGAUGUUUUGCAAACCAACUGUUACUAACUCUUCCCAGAUUUUCAGAGGAAACUCCAACCAACCACCCUUUGAGCCACAAACUCAAAGAGUGGGUAGAAUUCCUAACUGUUCUCUGCUAGGGGACUCUGGGAAUUUUUUUCCCAUUAUCUCUUGAGGAUUCCACUAUUUGAAUUAAAGGAUCCUAGCUCAUCCAACCCAACUUCUAUAACCAACCUAUUCUACUUAUCAAGACUCUUUAAUUACUCAGUUAAUUAAGACUUUACUCACUAUAAUACUUGCAACCAGGGUAGUACAAAUGAAAGAAGACAUACCUGUAGGAAAUAUGUGUGGCCAGGGAAUAUGUGUUGAAUAGUAAUUCUUUAGUCACAUCUUUUUGGGAAAAACUCUCCAUCAUAUCACUAGCAUUUUUCUCUGCCUCUGGCACUACUGUUUAUUUCCUUAUAGAGAUGGAGAUGUCUUCCUUUGGUAUGGUAAUGAUAUUGUCCUCCUCUGCUGCUUAAGGACUGGGCUUCUCUGCUGGGCAAGUCAUUCUUCUGAAAUUUACUAGAUUUGCACUGCUGUCUCCUUCAGGUCUUCUAAUGAAUAGGAGCUACUAUGUGGUCUUUCCUGGCUAGAAGCAGGUUCUAUUAGCCAUUUUAGUUCAUAGUUGUAGGAUAUCUCAGUACUUUUGUAAGUCAGACCCAUAAUCACAGUCAGUCAAACAGAGAGGUCCUUAGACUUUAGGUCUUUGUUUUGAGCUGGUUUUUUUUAUCUUCAGUUGCCACUUUUUUUUUUGUUAAACCCUUACCUUCCAUCUUAGAAUCAAUAUUAUAUAUUUGUUUCAAGGCAGAAGAGUGGUAAGGGCUAGGCAAUGGGGAUCAAGUGACAUGACCAGGGUCACACAGCUAGGAAGUGUCUGAGGUCAGAUUUGAACUUAGGGCCUCCCAUCUUUAGGCCUGGCUCUCAAUCCACUGAGCUACCCAGCUGCCACUCUUUGCAUUCAGUCUAUUCUUUGAACUAGAAUGAGAAAAUUCUCAAUUACUUUCAACUCUCAUCAUGCUCCUGGUGAUGUUGUACAAGCACACUCUGAGAGGUUUAUUUUUUUUAAGGUAUUGGUAGAGUUGAAAAUUUAUUUUCUUUUUUUUCCCACUAAAAUUUUUAUUUUUUUUAAUUUUUAAUUUUAAAAUAAUUUCCAUGUUUCCAUGAUUCAUUUUCUUUCCCUCCCUUCUUCCCUCCCCACUCUCAGAGCCAACAAGCAAUUCCACUAGGUUGUACAAAAGUUAAUAUUUGAUACCUAUUUCCAUAUUACACAUUUUUGCUAGUGAUUUUUUUAAAAGCCUAAACCCAAAUCACAUGCCCAUAUAUACAUGUGAUAAGUGAUGUCAUAUGUUUUGCUUUUGCAGUUCUACUUGCAGUUCUUUCUCUCAAUGUGGAUAGCAUUCUUUCACAUAUAAGUCCUUCAGGAGUGUCCUGGCUUCUUGCAUUGCUACUAGUAGAAUUGUUCCAUAAUGUUUUACUUUCAAUUUAUGAUGUACUUCUGGUUCUGUGCGUUUCACUUUGCAUCAGUUCAUUGAGGUUCUCUGGGAGGUCUAUUUAGCAAAACUGGAGGGGCAACAAAUUUAGUAGUCAGAAAAAAUAAAUUUUGUGGAGCUGGCAAUUUAUGUCCUGCCAUACUAUCAGAACCAAAACUCAUUGCUUUUCUUACAUUUGCCAAAGCACCUAGCACAGUAUUCUGCUUGAAAUAUGGGCUUAGAAAGCUUUUGUUAAGUGAAUGAAUAAAUAAAUGUUUAAAAAGCAUCAGAAUAACUUAGAUGGUGUUUCUUGAAGGGUGUUAAGUACCAGAGUGACCAUUUUUCUAUUUUAUUCUAUUACUCUCCAAAGAUUCAAAAGAGAACCUUGAACUCUGGGAUCAAAUUAGGACAUAUGUUUUAGUGCUACUCUUUGCCAUCUUUCUUUUGAACCCAAUAUGGGAAACAACAGGGAGCUUUGUCAUAUUCUGGGCAGCCUAAUUCAUGUCCCCUAAUUGCUUCAGGGAUGAAGUUCUACCACCUUGGUGGAGUGUUUCCUCUAUAACAGAGGCAGCUGAUGCUUUUGCUGACAGUGCAGAAACCUAAACACCAUGCAACAAAUGACUAAUUUCAUGUUGGUAACAUCAAAUGUCAUUGUCUAUAAAAAGUUUUAAUGCUAAUUGGCCUUCUUUUUCCUAAAGGUCAAGUUCCCACACUACAAAUGAAGGAGAAAAAGAAAAAUCUCAACAGAAAAUAAAUCCAACUUAAAUGAAAUCAGAACAAGUAAAUGUCAGCAUGUUUGUGCACAUGGAACUUUCAGACUCUCAGGAUGCCAUUAUCAUUCUUUUGUGGUAUAUGUUUCUGGUAUAGCGGUGACAUUUCUCUCAAUAAUCCAAUAUGAUCAAAUUAAUGGGAUUGGGGCAUUUUAGAAUUUAUAACCAUCAAUUUAGAGGUAGAAUGAUCCUUAAAGGUAAUAAAAUUCAAUAUCCCUUAUUUUACUGAUAAGGAAACUGAAACAAAUAACAAAAAAGAGAGGGAAUAAUUAGCAGAAUUCAAAUUAAACCUACAUCUUUGGACUACAAAUUUAGCAGUUUUCCCCCUUAUAAGCAUAUAGCACUUUACAAUUUUCAAAGAACUUUUCAUAUUUAUUAUCUCAUGUAAUCCUUAAAAUAAUCCCAUAAAAUAGGCUGACCAACUAUUAUUAUGCUCAUUUUACAUGUAAGAAAAGUACCAUACCAAGGUCAUAUGACUAGUGAAUGCCAGAUCUCUAGACAAAAUUUAUUUUUUCUGACUCCUACUAAAUUUGUUGCUCCUCUCACUAUAUUAUGCUCAUUCUUAUUCUUGCCAUUUUACUGAAGAAAGAACUAAGGUACAUGGCUAAGAGAUCUAAGAACUCAGAACUAGUAUUAAAAACUCAUUCCUCUGUAUCUUACAGAAUUUUAGAGCUAGAAGGGACUUUGGAGGUUAUCAAGUCACACAUCAAGUAGGUACAUGAAGCAUGAAGUUCUUCCUCAUCCCUGCCUCCAAACAAACAACAUUCCUGAUAAGUGGCAGUCCAAGCUCCAUUGAAGACCUCCCAAACCCUUGCUGUUUCCAAACCACACUGACCAAGUUUACAUUUUAUUGUUCCUUAGACAUCUUCAUCCCAAAUGUUCAUAUGGGCUAUUUGUGCCUAACCUGUGGUAGAGACUUCUGAGUCUGUAUUGGUCUGAAUAACCACAGUUGGACACACUGUACACUGACCCCAGCAUAAUGAUGUCAUCUCAGUCCUCUUCAAGUAUGAAGGACAAUAACUACUAUCCUUGUGGCUAAGAUGGAGGGAUGUGGGCUGGAUGAUAAUACCAUUAAGUGGUUUUAGAUUUAGUUGAAUGACUAGGACCAAAACACAGUGAUCAGUGGAUAGAUGUCAUUCUAGAGGGAUGUCUAUAGUUUAUUACUUUGGGGACUUGUCCUUGGCCUUAUGCUAUUGUUUUUUUUUUUAAUGAAAUGACUUGAACAAAGACAUUGAUGUUAUACUCAUCAAAAUUUCAGAUGACAUAAAAUUGAGAGAGCUAGUUAACACUUUGGAUGAUAGAACUGGGAAAUAAAAAUUCUUGGCAAACUAGAAUAAUGAUCUGAAGGUAAUAAGGAGAAAUUUAAGAGGGAUUAAUGUAAAACUCUAGCCUUGGAUUUGAAAAAAAAAACAAUUGGACAAUUAUAUGUAACCUAUGGACCAUAUAAAUGUAGAAAAACAGUUAGGUGCUCAUGUAGACAAUAAUUAAUUUUAGUUCUGAUUUUUUAAAAAAUGGUUAUGUCUUUGCAUCAUUCUCCUCCCUCAAGUUAACCCUGGGCACCUUUGAAUUUGCUUCAUAUCGAGCUUUCAUUCCUUUGAAAGAAAACAAAACUAACAAAGUCUGUAAUAAAAAAUAGGCCAGAGGUAACAGGUUAGAAUAUAAGGAAAGAGCAGAAACUGGACCUGUGAUUUCUGUGGUAUAGGGGAACUCCCAGAUAAGGGGAAAAACCCCUCUCUCUACUAAUGCAAAUCUGUUCCUUCUCUGAUCUUUUUAAUAUUAGAGGAUUAUCUAGAACACUGAGAUGACAAAUGACUUGCCCAGGGUCAUACAACUAAUAUGCAUCAAAGGUAGGGUUUGACUCUACCACUUCCUAGCUCUCAAUCAGCUUCCUCCCUCUCAUAUGCAGCACUGCUUCUCUAAUAAAAAUGAUAGUGUAGUGCCUGGAAUUUUAAUUAAUAAAUAAUGAGACCAUUUUUCUGAGCAUAACAAUUUAUUAACAGGGCAUGUAACCUGUUAACAAAGGAUGGAUCUUUCACCUGCCUCUUCCUUGAAUGAAAGACUCUCAGUGAGCCCUGACACUCUCUUUUAUAAGAAGGUGUAACCUCUUUAUGCUUGACCUGACAAUCCAUCCCUUGAACCUCCCCUGGCAAUCCCCAUUGGUGGAUAUUUAGAAAGAGGGAAUGGCCUUAAGAGUUCUCAAUUCCUCCCUCAUUAGUUUGUCACAGAGGAGGUGAGUCUUUACCCAAAAAAGGGAAAUGCUGGACCCAUUCUGCUUUAGGAUGUCUUAGGGAAGGUGAUCUUUUUGAUUUUUUUAAACCCUUACCUUCCAUCUUAGAGUCAAUACAGAAGAGUGGUAAGGGCUAGGCAAUGGGAGUCAAGUGACUUGCCCAGGGUCACACAGCUGGGAAGUGUCUGAGGUUAGAUUUGAACCUAGGACCUCCCAUCUCUAGGCCUGGCUCUCAAUCCACUGAGCUACCCAGCUGCCCCCAAGGUGAUCUUUUUUGAAGAUAAGGGCUUUGAAUAAAAGUUGAAAGAUCUCUGCCCAGUUUAUAUUGGCUUAGACUAUUUCAACUUGAUCUUGGAAGGGGUUUGAGAAAAUGAAUGAUUUCCUACAGAAAGAUUACUAACAAAAUGUACAAGCCAACAUUACUUUUCCUCGAUAUCUGACACUGAUCAAAUGUUUUAAGGUUUACAAAGAAGUUCAUAUGCAUUAUCUCACUUGAACCUUGCAAGACAGGUGCUUUUCAAUUAUAACAAAUUUAUAAAUGUAGAAACUGGGACUCAAAAAGGUUAAGGGAUUUGUCCAUGGACUCACAGAUAGUUAAGUGUUGAGAUAAAAUUUGAACCCUAUCUUCUCCUGACUCUUAGCCUAUUUACCCACUAUACCACAGUAUGUCAUAAUACAAGGAUCAAAAAAGACAAAUUUAUAUGAAAGACUUGUGUAAAUAAUAAAACAUCAUACCAAUGUAAGAGAUUGAUGUGGUGGAUAUUAUGAGGACCCUAGAAUAAAAGUAGGCAUUAUUGACAUAGAAUCCAGAGACCUAAUAAUCCAGGGCAAAUGUGAUUCAUUUGAGAUCUAUUCUUCAGAUUCUUUAAUCAUGCUUCUUGGUUCAUUCUCUUCCCUUUUUAAAAAUCAAUUUUGGAUUAUCGAAUUAAACAUAUAUUUAUUCAUUUUAUUUUCUGAAAAACCCUCAUCUUUGCCUUAGUAUCAAUUCUAAGAGAGAAGACUGUCAAGGGUUAGGCAGCGGGAGUUAAGUGACUUAACCAGAGUUACACAGCUAGGAAAUAUUUGAGGCCAGAUUUGAGCCCAAAUCCUCCCAGCCUGGUUCCCUAUCUAUUGUGCUACCUAGCUGUUCCCUCAACACAUGUUUAUGAAGUACCUACUAUGCAGGAAAUGUACUAAGAACCUUAAGUGCUUAAAUUAUGCUUGGGAGAUAUGAUAGAUCGAUUAAGGAAACAUAUAAAAUAGAAAAUCAAUGCAAAAUAAUUUCAAGAGGGUGUUGUACUUUGUUCUUGUUCCCUUGAAUAUCCCACCUUAUAGUCACCCUAGUAAGUGUAUAAUAGCCAGCAUAAAGCAGCAAUAUCAGAAAGUAAAAGUGCAAAAGGGAACCUAGAAGUCAUGUACAAAGCAUCCCAAAGAUUAGAGCACAAUUUACAAAUUAUACCAUCUAUUAACCAAAAAUGACCUCCUGGUAAUAUGUGCUAAAACGGGGGAAGUCAUGUAGGCUUUCCUAGCAAGGAUUUUUGGUCCUAUGAUAUGUAAAUCUUACAUAACUUCUGGACAUCUGCAAUGAUAAUUUUGAGAUAAAAUGACAUGAUAACUUUAACAUUUUACUGAUAACUUUGAGAUGAUUCAGACAAGUUAACUAACCCUAAGGUAGCACAGAUAAGAGUUUGUCUGUUCCCCUUCAAAACCUUAUAAAAACAAGUCUACAAACUUCUGCCACCUCAUCCCCAACUCCAGCAUUCUUCCACUUCCCCUGGGGUCCAUGCCACAGAGUGUUCCCAAAUUUAAUCCAUGGUUACAUAAAUGAUUAUCUAUGCCUUUCCCCCUCUCCACCCUGUUCUCAUGAUUCCUGACUUUACCCUAUUCCUGAUCCCAUGUCAUCUGCCUUGGCACCCCUUUUUGCCACUUGUCUCCACUUUCUGUGUCUGUUUAUCUCUACAUUCUCUGUGCCAUAAUAAAGUCUGAUUGCAGUCUCACAUCUCUGCCAUCAUAGCCUUUUCUGGCCAGUAACCAAAGAAACAGGUAUGUCUGCCCCCAUUUCAUAAUUUCAUAAAUUAAUUAUCACUAGAGAUGGAAGAUCCAAGGGUCAAAUCUGACCUCAGGCACUUACUAGCUGUGUGACCAUGAGCAAGUCAUUUUAACCCCUAUUGCCCAGCCCUUACUAGUCAUCUUCCUUUGAACUAAUACACAGUAUUGAUUCUAAAACAGAAGGCUUUUUUUUUUUAAGCUAAAAAGCAAAAAAGAAUUCUCCCCAAAUAAAUUAUCAGUUCAAAGAGGGAGAGCGUGCUCAUAUUUGCUUCACAUAGGAAGUGCUAUCUGAAUUGUAGUUUGAAGAGACCUAGAGAUUAUGAGAGGCAGGGGUGAGAAGGGACAUGUAGGCAGGCAUCUGUUUGAACAAAGACAGAGGUAAGAGACAGAAUGACCUAUACUCAGAAACAACUAGUGGAUCAGUUUUAAUAAAGCAGAGUGUGAAAUGUAGUAAUAUGAAAUUCAAAAAGCAGGUGGGAACCAUUAAAUUCCCAUUUCCUUGCCUCCCUUGAUUUUUUUCCUUUCUUUUUUUUUCAUAGCCCCUUUAGAAGGCAGAAACUAGUUGUCAGGACCAGGCAUGCUCAAGAAGGACCCAGAAGCUUUGGUUGCCAAGUCAGAGAAACCAGGGCAAUUACUGCCUUAUGCUAGCUUCCUUGUGCAAACAAGAACAGUCCAAAGUAUAACAGACAGAUCAGUUGAAAGCCUUCCCUUUGCAAGUAAAAAUGAACUCAACUUUCUUUUCCUGAAAUAUCUCUUUGAGAUAGGUUGGUUUUACCAUUAAGAAACAGAUAUUCACAAGGAAGUGCGUCAAUAGGUUCCCACUGAAAAGAUGGUACCCUGUUAGUUUUCUUGGGAAUCUUGAAUUUUUCAAUCCUUGAGCACUUGAAUUGCCAGUCAAUUUACACCAAUGGGAUUAGUCAAAAGAACAUAGCCUUCUUGAGCUAGUCAGCAAUCAUCAGGAUCAUUCAGGAGAAUUUUUCUAUACUAAGUCAUCUUGAUUGAGCAUCUUCACAUUCUAAUUUCACUAAAGAGUUGCUCAGUCCUUGAUUCCAUUUUUCUUAUGUAGACAAGAUUGAUUGAUUGAAUGUGUCUCUUUCUUUUUCACCUUAUAGGCUUUUUUUUUGGAUAGUAUUGAAGCAUCAAAAUAUGGAAAAGAUGGGGGGCAGCUGGGUAGCUCAGUGGAUUGAGAACCAGGCCUAGAGAAAGGGAGGUCCUAGGUUCAAAUCCGGCCUCAGCCACUUCCUAGCUGUGUGACCCUGGGCAAGUCACUUGACCCCCAUUGCCUAGCCCUUACCACUCUUCUGCCUUGGAGCCAAUACAUCGUAUUGAUUCCAAGAUGGAAGGAAAGGGUUUUAAAAAAAUAUGGAAAAGAUGGUCCAUGAGUUUACGGAUGAAAAGACACUUAUUAGGAAUCAAUAACUUUUCACAAAGAUUACUUUGGACAAAGCAUAAGGUUGUGGAGAUGUGGUGCCUUGGAAAAAAGCAUUAAAUUAGAAGCUUGGUCAUCUGGAUUCAAAUUCUGUAUCUGACAUUCACUUCCUUUAUUGACCCUGGGGAAGUUAUGUGACUUCUUCUGAGUCUCGGUUUCUAUGUUUUAAUAUUAAUAGCAUAAUAUUAAUGUAAUUACAUGAUAAUUAAAUUAUAUAAUAUAGAUUUAUAUUAAAAUUUGUCAUAACAAAAGUAUAAUUAUAAACAAUACAUCACAAUAUAAUAAUUUUAUUAAAUUUAGAUUGAAUUCAUAUUUAAUAUUAAUAUAUUCCCAUCUACCUCAUAGUAUUUUAAGAAUCAGUCAACAAGUAUUUGUAACAUUUCUACUAUAUGUUAGAUGUUGGGGAUGAAGCUAUCUCUGCUACUGGAAUUUGUAGUCUAUCAAUGGAAAUAACAUGUAUGUUUAAUGAUAGAAACAAAAUAAAUGCAAAGCAAUUUUAGGGAGAAGGCAUGAAUAGUGAGGGGGAUUAAAAAAGGCUUCAUGUACAAGUUGGAGUUUGAAUUGAGUUUUGAAGGAAAUUAUGGAUUCCUAGAAGCAAAAAGGAGAAAAGAAAUGGUUCCAGGCAUUGAAGGCAGCCAAUGCAGACAAAGAAAUAGGAAAAAUAGGAGAUAGAUUGUCGUGUGUGAUCCAGUUUGACUGGACCAUAGGGUAUGGAGAGGGAAGAAAAGUAUAAUAAUAAUUUUAGAAGAAUAACUAGAGUCAGACUGCAAAGAGUUUUAAAUGCAAAAUAAAAGUUUCUAUUUGCUCUCAAAGAUAAUAGCAAGUCAUUGGGAUUUACUAAAUUGGGGAUCAGUUUUGUGCUUUGGGAAAAUGAUUUUGACAAUUGCAUGGAGGAUGGAUUGGGAAGGAGAGAGAGUUAAAGCAGAGGGACCAAUUGGAAUCUUACAACCAUGAGAGGUAGGUGGUGGUGUUAUUAUCCCCAUUUUAAAGUUGAAAAAACUGAGACAGACAGUUUAAGAGGGCCAAUGUCACACAGAUGCUGAGGCUGGAUUUGAACUCAGACCUUCCUGACUCAGGUGUGGUACUCUUUCCACUAUGCCAUUUAACUGCUUUAAAAUGGAGAAAAUAAUAUCUGUAGGUACUACCUUGCAGUCAUUAGCUGGAGCAGUGGAUAGUGCUCCCAGCCAGGCUGGGAGUCAGUAAGACUUAUCUUCUUGAGUUCAAAUAUGGCCUCAGACACUUACUAGUUGUGUGACCCUGGACAAGUCACUUAACCCUCUUGUCUUCAUUUCCUCAUCUAUAAAUGAGCUGGAGAAGUAAAUGGCAAAUCACUCCAGGAUCUUUGCCUCCCAAAAACCCAAAUGGGGUCACAAAGAGUCAGACAUAACUGAAAUAACUGAACAAAGUAACUCCCUUAAAUAGUUUUUUCAUGGUUCAAAUGAGAUGAAGUACAUAAAGCACUUUGCUAACUUUAAAGCAUUAUACACAUGUCAAUAAUUGUGAUUAUGUUGAAUCCAGGAGAAAACACAUACACAUAUAAAAAGAUAAGUAAUAACACAAGAGCCUACAUGGGAAAUGGGAAAUGAACUGCACAGAUAUAAACGUUAUGAGUUUAGACUUAGGGGACAUUAGGUCAAGAGUUAUUUGAGGGGGAACGGGGAGCAUGAUCAACUUCUGGAAGCUCAGAGAUUCCUAGGAAGGCCAAAAAGAAUCCUAGAGUUGAUUUUUUCUCUGCUGUCUUCCCAGUGCUGACCUAGUAUACCACAUAAUCAUGCACUGUGCUUACAUAACCUGGUCCGUCUUGGCAUCUUGUCGACAGUGAUGACAGUGCCGGGAAGGAAAGAGAACAUAACAGCCUCAUCCUUAGAGUCAGGGAAACUGAAAUCCAUUGGAUUGCUCAAGGUCACCCAUUAGUCAGCUGAACUAGGAACAGAGAAAUGGAGCUCCCUAUUCCUUAUGGACAGUUGACUAUGUUAAUUCAAGUCCAGCCCAACUGCAUUAGAACUUAAGUAAAGCUCUGUGGGGGCACAGUGAAGAGAGGAAAGCAUUACUCAGUCCAAGCAAAAGGAGAAUGUCAUUAGGGAUAUGUGAUCCUUUUAAGAUUUCAAGUGUUUUGCUUGGUUCCUCCCUGCCCCCUCCCCCCUCCCCCCCCAGUUUUCACAUUAGAUUAUGUUAUCUAACAGCCUUGAUUCUCCCAGGGCCAGCCAGGAAUGUUUUCCCCUGCAGAUCCUUAGCCACAGAGAGUGGCAGUCCUCAAUCAAAACCACAGGACAAAAUGACAGAAAAUCCAGAUGUGAGCUGCCUAAAAUGGCUCCCCAGUGAUAUGACGGCCACAGCCAGUAUGAAAUGAGGAGAAAAAUAGAACUCAGAGGGUCAUCCUAAGAAUUAGGCAGGUGGGGAGCCUUUUUGAAAUAACAAGGAUUCAGUGGAGAGGUCAUGAAUAUAACUAAGCAUACUCCUCAAGACAUUAAAGCUUCAAGGAAACUGUCGUGGACCUACCUAUAUCUAGAAGUUCUUGUUGGAGUUGAAAGGACAAAUGAAAAAGACAAUAAAUUCUGCUGCUGUAUCUUUUAGAGAGCAAUGAAAUGUUGGGGAAUGACAGUUUUAACCAUCAUUUUUGAGGAGUCUGGGAGGAGACAGAAUUUAACUGUCACUGGAGAGACUAAAUUGUGAAGGCUGAAGAGAGGCCAGAGAAAAAGAAAUGAGAAAAUAUUGCCUGAGAAAACUGAGCUUAAGUCUUUUACUAUAAAGAAAUAUGAAGAGAAUUUUUGACAACAGAACUUCAGUUGGUUUCCUCACAUGUCUAACUGGUGGGACUGCAUUUCCAGAGUUAGAGAAGUUAGCAGUUCUAAUAAUGGUUAAAACUGACUUUGGUGGUACUCUUUCUCACUGGUGAUACAUUUUAAGAAGUUUUUUAUAACUUUGUUUUUUAUCAUUUGUUAUUUUAUUAAUAAAUCAUGUAGCCAGUAACUUUAAUGUUUAUUUAAACAUAGGCUAUUAGGAAGAAUGAUAUAUAGAGAAAAAUGAAUAAACAUGUCUAAAGAUUUUUCUCCAAAUUGUCAAAAAAAAUUUUAAUGAACUCAGUUGGGUCUUGGAGUUAAUUGAUUAAUUGAGAUUUUUUUUUUUGCAAAUUUAGUAAUUAAUGUGGAAAUACCACAAUAUACACCUUGAUUAUCUUCAAAUCAUUUACCUUGAAAACCCACAUGAAAAUGUAUGAGGAAAAUGAAAUUAGCAGGUAAAGAGAAAGAUAAUUAACCUGGGUUAUAUGUGUUGGUCAACCCUAAAAUCCUGCUACACUAAGAAAGGAGGUUAAAAUAUUUAUUAGCUCAGUAAAGACUUGCAAAUGAUCAGUAGCGUUUUCUCCUCCUCCAAGAAGAAAAAACCUAUAGGAGCAGAAAAUUAGAGUCCUAGAACAUUGAAAUAUCACUUUGGUGAAGCAAUGAGUUGCAGUGUUAAGGGCAGACAGGAAUAUCAGUGGCAGGCAUAGAGAUAGGGCAAAUAGCAGUGAUAAUUCUGGAACCUUAGCAAGGGAUCUCCAAAAGAUGGGACUCAGAUUCUAAAACCCCUUAUUUAUCCCAGAUAUGUGUGAGCUUUUUUCUAUUUUAUUCAACACAAUCAUAUAAAUAGCUUGAGACUCUAUCCAGUAUAUUUGCUACCAGUUGGUUAGAUGAGAACCAGCCAGAAAUCAAAUAUCAAAGCUUUUAUUUAGGACAGAAUACCAAAAUAAAUAACAGUGAAAAUUCAAUUACUAGCCUUGUUCUUAGCAUUCCUGACCCCAAAACAUAGAAGAAUACAAUAUUCUCUAUGCUCCCAGGCUAGUAGAAAAGAGGUUUGUCUUCUCUUUUUUUUUUUGAUGGGGAUUUUUGGUUUGCUUUCCUUGUAGGGGGUCUUAAACUAGAACUGAUUUUACAUAUUCUUUUCAAAUGCACCUAUUACAUUUUUUUUCUGGAUAAUUAUUUCAAUAUAAUGAGGUUUCCUUUAUUCAUUUUAAAACAUUACCCUAGGGAGACAAAAGGCUUCACCAGACUGCCAAAGGAGUCCAUGAUACAUAAAGGGUUAAGAAGCUCUUAACUUAGAUCAUCUUAGACCAACAUUUUAGACCAGGGCAAUUGAGAUAUCUAAGUACUCACAAAUAAGUACCCCUGUUCAUCCAAACCAGUCCCAGAAAUAUUAAUGUUCAUUCUUAUCUGAGUUCAAUAGUCCUAUAAUAUUCAGUACCCUUAUUCCUGUGCAUUUAAAUAUUGCAUAUCUAUUGAGGUAUGGUGCAAUUACCAUUUCUACCAUGGGGCCUUUACAUAUUAUUCAAAGCUUAUUCCAUCUUCUCAUUCUCUGAACUUUUAUAGUACUUGCUGUUUUCCCAACAAACUUGUGUUCCAUUGCAAAAUCUCAGAACUGGAAGACCUCAUAGGUUUUCCAGGAUAUUCCAUAUAUGAAGAGCAACCCCUGUGUGAUGUUCCAUGAAGGAUUCUUCUCACUUAAGUUGGGAAAUAUUUAGCAAUGGGGUAUCCACCACCCUCUGGGGAAGCCUAUUCUACUCUUUGACAGUUCUAUUAGGAAGUAUUUCAUUAUUAAAUCCAAAUCUGCUUUUCUAUAAUUUCUAAUCAUUAUUCCUAAUUUUCUUAUCCUCUUGGGUCCAGCAGAAUAAGUCUACUUGUUCUUCCAUCCCUGCAAAUAUUUGAAGACAGUUAUCUUCUACAUCUAACACCCCCACACACAUGUGUAUGUGCACAUGCACACAUACACACAUACACUCUUAUCUCCUCUUGGCCAAACAUCCUUCAUUCAAUUUAUCCUCACAUGAUAUGAGCUUAAGGAUCUUCACCAUGAUUAUUGUAUAUUCUCUUUAAUUGCUUUCUUAGUGUCUGCCCUACCUCCCAGUAACACAGGAAUGAUAUCUUGUCUCUUUACCCUUAGAUGUCUCUCAUUUUCUAGCCUAGUUCUGGUUGCAUAGGAGAUAUGAAAAAUGCUUUAUAAAAUUGAAUUGUAAGCAUCUGUCCCUAAAUAAGAACCAUUCUGGGAACUUCAUGUGUGCUGAGCAUGCUUGUUUUGCUCAGGGCAAAGGGCAGGUUGUUUAAAGUGACAUAUGCCCAUGUGAAAGCCCUUUCCAGGGUUACAAAAGUUUUCAUCUCAGAAGUUGGAUCAUAGCCUGGCCAACAUGUGUUGCGUUCCUUCUUUUUUUACAUGUGGCCCAAAGUCCUUGCAUUGACCCUGUGGGAAUCUGACCCAGCAUCUGCAGGGAAUAUGUAAAUCAUGGAACUAUGAGGGAGUAGAAUGGUUAUGUGAGGAGGAGGAUCAAAUGAUGUGGAGCAAACUUCAUUUUGAAUUCUAUGAAUCCAAGGUGAUUUCUGGGAAAUGGUGAGCUCUACAGCUCCACCAAAGGCAUCUUUGUUAUUGUUGUUGUUUUAAUGUCAAUGCAACAUUGCUAUUCUGACAGGAAAUGGGAAAUAAGUAGGGUCAUUCACUCUCAGUUCCAUCUCUGAUGAUCACUUUGUUUUCACUAGAGUUUUGACCAGAGAGCCUCUUUUUAAAAGGUUGGAAGCAAAGUUAAAGGAAUUCUGGGUUGUACUAGAUUAUCACUAUAAUUGAAGAGUCCAACUCUUCAAUGCUAUGAUUUUUUGAUUUAGGAAUUCUAGUGUCUCAAUUUACACAAGAGAUCUUUUCCUUAAAGAAUGUUGUGUAUCUCUCAAUCUUUCUGUUUCUUUGUCCCUCUGUCUCAUUUGAACUCUAAUUUAAAAGUACUGGGGCAAUUGCUAUUUAGAGGAACUUUUUUUUUUACUUUAAUCAGAAUCAUAAAGACAGUAGAAAGAGUGUUGACUUUGGCAUCAGAAAGCCUGUUUGAAUGCUAAUUGACAACUCUGACUUAGAACAACUUACAUAAUUUCUCUGGGUUUUAAUUUCUUUAUAUGUAAAAUUUACUAGAUGAUCUUUGUUUUCUUCUCUAUCUAAAUUUAUGACCUUAUAAGUCUUCUUAUGAAGUGAAUAACCCCUCUUCACUUUGUCUUUUCUUAAUAAUGACAAAAGUCCUUGGGGCAACAAGGUAGUGCAGUGAAUAGACCACUAGGCCUGGCAUCAGGAAGACCUGAGUUCAAAUCAGCCACAGACACAGUUAGCUGUGAAACCUGGACAAAUCACUUGAAUUCUGUUUGUGUAUGUUUCCUCAUCUGUAAAAUGGGGAUGAUAAUAGUAUGUAUCUCUCAGGGUUUUAUGAGAUUCCAAUGGGAAAAAAAAAAUUGUAAAGCCCUUAGCAUAGAUCAUGGCACAUAAUAAAUACCACAUGUUUUUAGCUUGAUUAUUUUAAACUAUAAAGUACUAUGUAAAUAUCAGAGUUAACUGAGAGAAAUAUCCACUUAAGAGGUUUGCUCAAAAAGAGUACACUUGCAUUAAGUACAUAGGAUCACAGAUUUGGAGUCAAAAGGUUUCAAGUCCAUCCCUUUCAGUUUAUAAAGGAUAUUGAAACCCAAGGAAAUUUAGUGACUUUCCCCAGGACACAUAGAUCAGGGGUCCCCAAACUUUUUACACAGGGGGGCCAGUUCACUGUCCCUCAGACCGUUGGAGGGCCAGAGUAUUAAAAAACAAAUAAACUAUGAAUAAAUCUGUAUACCGCUGUCUGGGGUAGCGAAGGCUGCAGCACUGGCUGGGAUGGGCCUGUCACACCUUGCACAGACCCAUCACUGCCACCACUAUACUGGGCAGCAGUAUACACAGUGUGGAAUCCCCUCCCCCAGAUCACCAGUCACCAUGCUGACAUCUUCCAUUGUGCAGCCACAUAAUCCUUUGUGCGAUGCCUCGUUCUCAUUCAGUUACUCUCAGAACAAGGAAGUAGUACUGUAUGUGAGUGACCCCUCACUUUGUGGCAGCACCACAUACAGUACUCCAGGAGCACAGGACGCUGCUCUCACUGACCACCAAUGAAAGAGGUGCCCCUUCUGGAAGUGUGGUGGGUGCUGGAUAAAUAGCCUCAGAGGGCUUCAUGUGGUCUGCGGGCCGUAGUUUGAAUACCCCUGACAUAGAUAAUAGUUAGUACCAGAGAAAGCAUUUAUAGGAUCACAAGAUUCUAACUGGAAUGACUUUAGAGGUUUUUUAGUUUAACCUCUUCAAUUGACAGAUGAAGAAUAUGAAAUCAUGAGAGGAACAGUGAUACCUAAGGUCACACAAAAUUUGGGAGAUAAUUUUUUAUUACAAAUCUGGACUUCCACUAUUCCCCAGGGCCUCUAUUCAAAUAUCUAAACAAGGAUAUUUUGUCAGGACACAAGUCGGCCUGCUUAAUUCCAUAAAAAAUGAGAAAGGACACUGAGGAAGACUUGGUUUAAAGGAAAGCACAUGUUCCUCCUUAGACUUUUGAGAUCUUCAUCUUGGAGGAGAUGACCAAAGAGAUGAAGGGUCUGCAUUAGGGCAUCUCUGAACAAGAGCUAUUUGAAGAGAGAACAAAAAUGUCUUCCUGGUUGGA